Molecule: ribosomal RNA, 497 nt
Filed under: uncultured bacterium
Lineage: Bacteria
Description: partial 16S ribosomal RNA
Rfam family: Bacterial small subunit ribosomal RNA
Source: RNAcentral
GAUGAACGCUGGCGGCGUGCCUAAUACAUGCAAGUCGAGCGAACAGACGAGGAGCUUGCUCCUCUGACGUUAGCGGCGGACGGGUGAGUAACACGUGGAUAACCUACCUUUAAGACUGGGAUAACUUCGGGAAACCGGAGCUAAUACCGGAUAAUAUAUUGAACCGCAUGGUUCAAUAGUGAAAGACGGUUUUGCUGUCACUUAUACAUGGUUCCGGGCCGGAUUAGCUAGUUGGUAAGGUAACGGCUUACCAAGGCAACGAUGCGUAGCCGACCUGAGAGGGUGAUCGGCCACACUGGAACUGAGACACGGUCCAGACUCCUACGGGAGGCAGCAGUAGGGAAUCUUCCGCAAUGGGCGAAAGCCUGACGGAGCAACGCCGCGUGAGUGAUGAAGGUCUUCGGAUCGUAAAACUCUGUUAUUAGGGAAGAAGAAAUGUGUAAGUAACUAUGCACGUCUUGACGGUACCUAAUCAGAAAGCCACGGCUAACUACGUG